This 499-nucleotide ribosomal RNA is filed under the name Dolichospermum planctonicum 1MS33S1. RNAcentral describes it as "bacterial SSU rRNA". It matches the Rfam family "Bacterial small subunit ribosomal RNA", at positions 199 to 715 of the family's 1533-position model. Lineage: Bacteria; Bacillati; Cyanobacteriota; Cyanophyceae; Nostocales; Aphanizomenonaceae. The record is from RNAcentral.
GGUGAAAGGCUUGCUGCCUGGGGAAGAGCUUGCGUCUGAUUAGCUAGUUGGUAGUGUAAGAGACUACCAAGGCGACGAUCAGUAGCUGGUCUGAGAGGAUGAUCAGCCACACUGGGACUGAGACACGGCCCAGACUCCUACGGGAGGCAGCAGUGGGGAAUUUUCCGCAAUGGGCGAAAGCCUGACGGAGCAAUACCGCGUGAGGGAGGAAGGCUCUUGGGUUGUAAACCUCUUUUCUCAGGGAAGAAAAAAAUGACGGUACCUGAGGAAUAAGCAUCGGCUAACUCCGUGCCAGCAGCCGCGGUAAUACGGAGGAUGCAAGCGUUAUCCGGAAUGAUUGGGCGUAAAGGGUCCGCAGGUGGCAUUGAAAGUCUGCUGUUAAAGAGUCUAGCUCAACUAGAUAAAAGCAGUGGAAACUACAAAGCUAGAGUUUGGUCGGGGCAGAAGGAAUUCCUGGUGUAGCGGUGAAAUGCGUAGAUAUCAGGAAGAACACCAGUGG